UAGUCUAUGCCCAUCACUGCGGACGCCAUUUCCGUGUUCCAGCCGUCAGGGGCUUUGUUCGCUCGGCGUCCGCUGAAAUUCGGUUGCCGUUCGCGGUUCGCCUAUUCUAACGACGUACCGAAUCGAAUGCGCGUUGUUCUCAGUUUCGUUAAAUUUUUUAAUAAUCGUAUUGCUUUUUUUACUCAAAACAUAAGUCGAAGUGUACCUGUAUGUUAAUUUAACUUUUGCGGCUGUAUUCGAAAUUCCGUCGCAAAUAUUACAGUUUUUACUGCGGUAUGAAAAAAAAAAUGCCUAUAUCAAAUUUGUUGUGCACACGGCAAGAUGGCCGCCAACGUCGAAUGGUUUUCGACUGCACCUUCGUUUCGUGUGAUGGGUAUUGAUUGGAAGUACGGAUAUAAGAUUAAAGAUUAAUGUCAUGGAAGUGUUUAAAGAUGAUCGUUCGUUUCGCAGUACAAAGGAAUGCUGGCCGACAACUGAUUGUGCCAACAACAAAUACAACGCCGUGUAUCAUUUGUAUUUGUGAGGUACCUAGAUUAACUCACAAUAAAGCGUUCAUAUUGAGUCGUCUGGUCGUCAAAGAGCGUUGAAGAUCAAGAAGUGCUGGAACUCUUCAAUUGUUCUUCGGUGUGAUGCUGGAAAGAUCAGUCCCGCCUUUGACAAUCGUACCGAUGCUGCGCCAGUGUUAAGUCUGUGGCCUUUGAAGACUUAAAACACAAAGGUUGAAGAUGGUAUAUGGAUGUUUUUAAUUAAAAGAAUACUUUCGAUAGCAAAAAUAUGAUUAGGUACGUGGAGCAAUACACAGCCAAGACACUUCUGUUUUAGUGGCGCGAAGCGGCUGGUAUUUACGAAAAAUUGCCAUCCGGGUGGAAUGGAAGCAGUCAUUGGCAUCCCCGCAUUGGUGACCUUUUUCCAGUUGUGCAACCGCUAAUCCUCGAGUCCGGGUCGUUGGUGAAUUGCCAAGCUAUCCACUGUUAAUCGCGGAACAUUGUCGGAUACAUAAUUUAUACAAUAUUUAAUGUGUUUAUUUGCGUGUUUUCACAAUCUCUGGUUGUACAAAGUAUACGAUUUCUUAGCAGUUAUAUGAAUAAAUUGAAUUUUAUGAUUCA
Adelges cooleyi (spruce gall adelgid) is the source of this 1106-nucleotide long non-coding RNA. RefSeq lists it as uncharacterized. The record is from RefSeq and is a predicted model, not a curated record. The transcript is spliced from 4 exons. NCBI's taxonomy places the organism in Eukaryota, Metazoa, Arthropoda, Insecta, Hemiptera, Adelgidae.